GGAAGAUCAAAUCAUGACAGUAAGCUGAUCAGGUCACAGCUGGCUCUGGAAGAUGUGAUACAUUCUCUCACCACACAGGGGCGCUGUUGUCCUUUCGCUCACGGACUGACUGGGCUUCCUUGUAUCUAUGGUCUGACGGACAAACAGCCCCAUUCUCAGAGUUCAUAACGGAGUGCUUACAUUUCACUUGUGCAAUUCAAGAUAUAUUUAUUUUACCCUUUCAGUAUUUUUUAUUUUUUUUGUUGUUGAAAAAGUUACAACAUGUUAUUUUAAGCUAUACAGGUUUUGUGUUCUCAGAGGGAUGGGAUCAAAACACAGCAAGAUGACAAUUCAGUUAAUAAGGUAAAAGAGUUCCAUCCCCUUCAGACUAGUAAGGACAAUGUGCAUUAUAAUGCAGCUGUUCAGUUUGUUGACUGUGACACACAAACGCAGUCAUUUCACUGUGAGAACUGCAACGAGUAGUUGUUUCCGAUCAUAGACGGACUGUAAUAAUAAUAAUAAUAAUGUGUUUUAAAGCCUACAUACACACAAACAGGUUGUACUUUCUGGUCAAUUCAAUGUAGGCUUUUUUGUUGUUGCUUUUGAUGACAACAACAGUACACCAAAGUUCAGAAUAGAUGAACUAUGUUUCUGUGUGUUUGGCGUUUCUAAUGAUAAGCUAAGUGACGGCUGUAGUGGAGAGAUAGAGGCAGGAUAAAACACAACACAUCACUCAAAUGAUUGGUGAGAAAAUAGGUGAGGUACUGUACUGGCUAGAUGGGAUGUACUGUACUGUACUGGCUAGAUGGGAGGUCCUGUACUCUAUUGGCUAGAAGAGGUACUGUACUGGCUAGAUGGGAGGUACUGUACUGUACUGGCAAGAUGGGAGGUACUGUACUGGCUAGAUGGGAGGUCCUGUACUCUAUUGGCUAGAAGAGGUACUGUACUGGCUAGAUGGGAGGUACUGUACUGUACUGGCAAGAUGGGAGGUACUGUACUGGCUAGAUGGGAGGUACUGUACUGGCUAGAUGGUAGGUACUGUACUGGCUAGAUGGGAGGUACUAUACUGGCUAGAUGGUAGGUACUGUACUGGCUAGAUGGGAGGUACUGUACUGUAGUGGCUAGAUGGGAGGUACUGUACUGGCUAGAUGGUAGGUACUGUACUGGCUAGAUGGGAGGUACUGUACUGGCUAGAUGGGAGGUACUGUACUGGCUAGAUGGGAGGUACUGUACUGGCUAGAUGGGAGGUACUCCAUCUUAUUGGCUAGAUGGGAGGUACUGUACUUUAUUGGCUAGAUGGGAGGUACUGUACUGGCUAGAUGGGAGGUACUGUACUGUCUAGAUGGUAGGUACUGUACUGGCUAGAUGGGAGGUACUGUACUGGCUAGAUGGGAGGUACUGUACUGUACUGGCUAGAUGGGAGGUACUGUACUUUAUUGGCUAGAUGGGAGGUACUGUACUGGCUAGAUGGUAGGUACUGUACUGGCUAGAUGGGAGGUACUGUACUGUACUGGCUAGAUGGUAGGUACUAUACUGGCUAGAUGGUAGAUACUGUACUGUCUAGAUGGUAGGUACUGUACUGUCUAGAUGGGAGGUACUGUAUUGUAUUGGCUAGAAGGGAUGUACUGUACUGUCUAGAUGGUAGGUACUGUACUGUCUAGAUGGUAGGUACUGUACUGGCUAGAAGGGAGGUACUGUACUGUCUAGAUGGGAGGUACUGUAUUGUAUUGGCUAGAAGGGAGGUACUGUACUGUCUAGAUGGUAGGUACUGUACUGGCUAGAUGGGAGGUACUGUACUGUAGUGGCUAGAUGGGAGGUACUGUACUGGCUAGAUGGGAGGUACUGUACUGGCUAGAUGGGAGGUACUGUACUGGCUAGAUGGUAGGUACUGUACUGCAUUUGGCUAGAUGGGAGGUACUGUACUGGCUGGAUGGAAGGUACUGUACUGUAUUGGCUAGAAGAGGUACUGUACUGUCUAGAUGGUAGGUACUGUACUGUCUAGAUGGUAGGUACUGUACUGUCUAGAUGGUAGGUACUGUACUGGCUAGAUGGGAGGUACUGUACUGGCUAGAUGGGAGGUACUGUAUUGUAUUGGCUAGAAGGGAUGUACUGUACAGUACUGGGUGGAUGGGAGGUACAGUAUUGUAGUGGGUGGAUGGGAAUAUGUAAACCUAGCCAACAUAUCUGGGUUAGUAUUCUGUAUGUCAAAUUGAGACAUCCAGGCCCGCUAGCCAAAACGAACCGGUGUGUGACUGAACAUUGUUAACUAUGUUACUCGUAUAAUGCUCAUUUGGGGGGGAGGUGCUUAUGUUUGUCCUGGUACACACUUGUACAAGUCUGUAAUGGAAAUGUGUUUCUUACAUACUGAGACCCUGAGGGAGUGGGGUCGCGACCUUUUAGGGUGAUACCUUUCAGUAUUGGCUUCUGUACUCCCAACCCUAUUUUGUAAACCAGACACAGUGACGUGUGCAGUCUGGUUGAAAUACUGCUAUUCAGGCCUGUGAGCCGUCAUCACGACCUCGGCAACAAGUUGAUGUUUUCUCGCCCUCCUUCCCUGUUUACUGUUUUACGUUGCAUGGUUUUCUCACACUGCAUUUGAGUUAUUUCCAUGGUUAGACUGUAUUUCAAGCAACAACUCUUUUACUCAACACACAACGUGUUUCUAUUACAGUUAGAACAAAGAGGUCCCAGGUCUGAGUCGCUGUUCCAGGGUCGCUGUUCGCACGGUCGCUGUUCGCACGGUCGCUGUUCGCACGGUCGCUGUUCGCACGGUCGCUGUUCGCAGGGUCGCUGUUCGCAGGGUCGCUGUUCGCACUAUUCAAGGU
Long non-coding RNA from Oncorhynchus masou masou (cherry salmon), 2804 nucleotides. RefSeq lists it as uncharacterized. NCBI's taxonomy places the organism in Eukaryota, Metazoa, Chordata, Actinopteri, Salmoniformes, Salmonidae. The transcript has 3 exons. The record is from RefSeq and is a predicted model, not a curated record.